GAGAAUGGCUUGAGCCUGGAGACAGAGGUUACAGUGAACUGAGAUCACAUCAUUGCACUCUCCAGCCUAGUCGACACAGCGAGACUCUGUCUCAAGAAAAAAAAAAAAAAGAGUUGAGUGCACCUGAAUCCAACCCCUGCCUCAUCCCUCUCCCUUGAAGGCCAAAUACACCCUUAUACUUUUCACCAAAGAGUAGAAACAACACCAUCCACUUGACCCCAAAUGUGACUUUCCACAGGAUGCAAGCACAGUGUUGGAAUGGCCAAUGACAGUGACAAUGAAAGUGCAGGCUGAGGGUGAUGAACAGGACACACUGGAGAGCCUGACAUUGGCCUAGACUAUGGGGGUGUCUUGAUGCUUCACAAAGAGCCCAAGGAGCACCCCAAAGAGGAC
This 393-nucleotide small RNA is filed under the name Pongo abelii (Sumatran orangutan). Its description in RNAcentral is "sense overlapping". Lineage: Eukaryota; Metazoa; Chordata; Mammalia; Primates; Hominidae. The record is from RNAcentral.